Molecule: non-coding RNA, 8025 nt
Organism: Equus caballus (horse)
Lineage: Eukaryota; Metazoa; Chordata; Mammalia; Perissodactyla; Equidae
Source: RefSeq, a predicted model, not a curated record
ACCUGGGAUCCGAACUGGUGAAUCCAGGGCUGCCGAAAUGGAAUGUGUGAACUUAACCACUGUGCCACUGGGCCAGCCCCCACUUUCUUUUUCUAUACAUGCUUAUUUGUCUCAAUGUAUUAUAAAAUGUGUAGUGUUGUUUAGGGUAUGUAUAGUGAAUAUAUAUAACAAGUAUUAUGCUAGAGACUAUAUUCUGUUUCUUGAUUUUUUUUCAUUCAACAUUAUAUUACAAGGUUUAUCCACAUUGCUGCAUAUAUUACAAGAUUUAUCCACAUUGUUGUAUGUUCAUUCACAUGGUUGCAUCUGGUGAAUACAUAGUAUUUCAGGAUAAUCAUCCACUGCAUUUGCCUAUCCACCUCCCUGGAUUGCCUUCAGUUCUCUACCACAAUAAAUGAUGAUGUGUGAGAAUUUGUUUGAGCUACAUACCUAGGAGUAGGAUUGCUGGGUCAUGGGGCAUACAUAUAUUUACUUUAACUAAUUAAGUAUUGCUCUGUGAAUAUUUUCACUAACUUUUCAGAACUAGUAAUUCUUGGUGUUAUUAGAGUUCAGCAGUUUUAUGUAUUGUAUCUCAUAAAUCACUGUUACUAAUUUUGUAAGUCAAUCAAGUCCAACCAACUGAGCACACACAUAUAACUAAUGUUACAUGUAAUUCACAUCUGUAAGGGGGUUUUUCACUAAUGAUUACCUAUAAGCGUAUGUUAUAAACUAUUGUUCUCAGGCAUUAUUUUAUGUUGCUAUAAAACCCAGUCAUAAAUGGAUAAACAAAAUGUAUAUUUAUUCAAUGGAAUAUUUUUCAGCAAUAAAAAGGAAUGAAUUAUUGAUGCAUGCUACAACUUGGAUGAACCUCAACAUCAUUAUGCUAAGUGUACGAAGCUAGUCACAAAAGCCCACAUUUUAUGAUACCAUGUCCAGAACAGGUCUGUGCAGUGCAGGAAGAGGAGAAAAAAUUGUGUUGCCAUGAUAUACUAUGGAGGACUUGAGGAAAAUAGGAUUUGUCAGUGAUUUGCAAGAUACUAAGAAGGUUUCCAAUCCAAUUAUCAUCCAUUGCAGCUGGAAGAAUUUAAUGGGAUAUGGUCCAAUGAAACACUCUCGUUGAGAAGUUCUUUACAUAGACUUUAGUGUCUUGAGAGUCAAUAUUUUGUAGUUAAGAAACAUUCUUCUGGAGCUUGACUGCCUGGGCUUGAGCCUCAUCACUUACUAGCCGUAUAUCUUUGACCAAGUUAUUUAAUUACCUUGUUUCACAGUUUUCUUAUCUGUAAAAUGAUGAAAAUCACACCUAACUUCCAGGUUUAAUGUAAUGAUCAAGUGAGUUAAACAUUUAAAGUUCUUAGAACAAUGCUUGGCUUUUAGAACGAGCUUAUUACACAUAAUCUAUUAUUGUUUUAAAAUUAGUUUUCUACUUACACUUAGAUUUUUAUAAUUUUUAAAAUUAAUUUCCGAAUCUAUUAUAGCUUGAAUGCUCUGUGUUCAAGACUGGGUCUUAAUGGAAGGUUAAAGUUAUCAGGAAUCCUGACUUUGAAAAAAGAAAGUCAAAGUGAACUCAGUUCAAUUUGAUUAAUAUUUAUCAAUCAUAAAUGUUAAGUAGCAUAAGGUGGUUUAUAAAAUAUGGAAAUCAUGGCUUCUACCCUUUUACUAAACUACUUGAGAGUAGAGGACAUGCUAUAUGCUGCCUCUCUUGUAAACUGACUUGUGUGUCGUAUAAUUCAAAUAUUUGUUCAAUGAAAGUCACAUCAACAACGAAUCCUAAUAUAUUGUUGGUACAAAUUAGACACUUGAUAAAUACAACUUGAGUGAAAGGAUAUUUAUUUAUGUUUCUGUGUGUAUAUGAAAAUAAGUGUUCAUUAUUUUCAGGAGUGUGUAAUUAAAUUAAGUAGAAGACUUUUAGCUUAGAUAUAAUUAGAAGCAUCCUGACUAUAGGGUUGGGAAACAUUCUAGUCCUUUACUAAGAGAAAUAACAGAAUCUAUAUAAUUAUAAAGAAUAGGUUAUCAGUUGAUAUUUAAUUCUUUAUUUGCUAUAGAAGAAUAUUUAGAUCUUUCUUGAGAGACCAUCAAGCCAUUUUACCCUGUAAUUCUCAAAUUUAUUACAUAAAUUUGUACAUUCUUGUGAAAGAAGAAGCAAGAAGACCUUAGAAUAAAAAGAUUUAACAGCCAAGUUUACCUUUUCUGCAUGUCAUCCCUCCCUCUUUUGGGGGAAAGCAACCAGGGAAAUGAAAGAAAUCACUUCCAAUAACUCUACCCUUUUUUUGCUUUAGUGGUAAAUAUGUUCCGGGAGAUCGGGCUCAUAAGAAAAAAUAUUUUGGCUGACGCAGCCUCCCUAUCCUUACUUUCAUGAUCUUGACUAUUAUUGGAGCAGAAGUCCUCAGGUGAAAUGCUCCCCCCCCCCCCCCGCCCCGCCCCCGACUCUUUUCUGGGAGAUCAGUAAUCAGUUAUCCUCUUUUCCUAUUUUAAGACUCCUCUUUCUCCAGCCCAAGUAUGUUUUAUACAGAGCUAGUGUCUGGGAUACUAACUCUAACUCAUUCAAGCAGGCUUCUAUGCUGUUUUAUUAAAAUAGAUUCUAUUUAAAAUGAUUAGGGAAGUAUAGAAUUCAUAAGACAAUUAUUGCUUAGGUUGCAGCUAAUGUUCACAUUGAUCAGCAUUCAUCAUAAAGACGGUUGAGUAGAAUUUAUGUUUGUAUGUAUGUGUGAGUGUUUUGAGAAGGUAGUACGCUCGUAUAAUUCCAAGUUCAAGAUGUCUGAAAGAGUAUAUACUAUGAAGUCUCCUUCCCAUCCCUGGCCUUCAUCACCUUAGUUCCCCUCCCUGGAGGCAACUGCAAUGACCAGUUUCUUUUGUAUCCUUCCAGGGUACAAACAAAUUGCAUUUUCUGCAUACAAACAAAAACAUAUAUGGUUGGAUGUAUUUUGGGAUACUUAAAACAUGGAGAUGACUUUCCUUUUGUAAGUCUAUCUCUUUCUGGAAGACCAAGAGAUGAAAACUUAAGGAAGGACAAGAGCUCUUUCUGAAAGUACCAACUUGCUUUAAGUCAUAUUUCUUAGAAGUGCCCAGUAUAUAAGAAUCUUUGAAAAUAGAGAUAAAUAAGGAGAGGAAACAGAGAUGGAUUAGAAAGUCUCAGUAAUUGUUUUCCUCUUGAAAAUUCUCUUCUCAAGACAGAAAUUACAGAUUUUACAAAGUUGAGACAGUUAGUUCCUCUGUGACUUGCUGAAAGAUAACAUGGUCUCUCUGAAAGCUAACAGUGAACCCAAGAUUCCCUUGAAAGCGUGGAGCAGCAUGCACAAGGGUAUAAAAAGGAGCAUGCCCAGUUUUGGAGUCAGAUUUAUCUGAAUUUGGAGACCAGCAUGAGGACCUAAUAGCUUUGUGACUUUUAACCAGUGCCUGAGUCACCUCCUGAGACUCAGUAAAUUGGAAGUAAUCAAACCAAACCUUGUGGUAUCUUGCAGAGGAUUAAAUUAGAUAAUGUAAGUGAAAUAAUGUCUGACACAAAGUAGGAUACUCAAUAAAUGUUAGCUUUUUUCUUUGCCAGUUCACCAUUAUAUUUAAGAUGAAAAGGUCUGCUCUCCACAGAUUGUGGUGUUUAGUCUUACUGUGUUUCUUAUAAUUGAAAACAGCGUUUAGAAAGAAGUUUUUAGAUAUUCAUCUUGCAAAUGUCCAAAUUUUUUUUAACCUAACAACCAGCUUUUGUGUAGUGCUUUAACAGUUAACAAAGUUAACUUUCUAUUCUGUAAUCUCUCUCUGAGGGAGAUGAGAGAAAUGGAUGAAAGGAGAUUGUAGAUGAAGACAUCUAUAGCAAUAUUUGAUAGAUUAAAUUAUUUAGAAUGUUUGUUCUCUUUCUUUUCAACCCAGUUGGAGUUAUAUAGGGUUUCCAAAGGCCAUAGUGGUGGACAUAAAGAAGAAGACUAAUGGGGGUACAAAGACUUUCAGAUUAGACUUAACUUCCCAAAUAUAACAUUAAGACAAAUAGUGAGAAAAAAAAAUCUCUGAAUUUUAAGUGACAGAUAAACAAAAACACCAACUUUUUGACUUUUAGUUACACUAACUCACUGUGGGAUCUGGGCUAGUCAUUUCACCUUUGUAGUCCUUAGAUUUCUUCUAAAAAACAAACAAACAAAAAAGAUUUGGGAAUAGUACCCUUUACAGAUCCCCUCAGAAUUAUAGCUGUAAGCACUACGUAAAUUCAUAAAAAAUAGUUUUGAAGACCAGCUUUAAAAUUUCAAUAGUUAUUGUAUAUUCAAAACAGCUGCAGAAGCACUUUAUUUUCAUUUUAAAGAUUUAUAAUUAAAGUGAUUUUAUGUGUACCUCAAAUGCCUGAUUAUAUACAAACCCGUUAACAGGGUUUAUGCACACAUUAAAUCCCUUCUUAUUAUGGGGUUUUGUGCACCUUAAAUGCCUGGUUGUUAUAGAUUGUUGUUUUUCUUGUUACCAUUAAAUGUAACAUUUCCCUAGGUGAUGAAAUGUAUUAUUAUUGGGAACAUUUAUUUUAGUGUGUGUUCUGUAUUUUAAAAGAGAAAGGUAUUUAAACAGCAAAGACGUAGCUGUUAUGAAAUUUAUUUUUUAUAAAUAGCUUUCAGCAGAAAUCAGAGCAGUACUUUAAAAUUACAGUUAAAAAAAGAAUUUAAUCAUCACACUCCUUGUUGGCUAAUAGGUUACUAAGUGACUUUUUUUUUUUCCUGCAAUAGGCUAUUCUUGAUCUGCUCACUAAGUGGACCUAAGAGUACUAGUAUAUUUUAUGUUAGCAAGCCUUGAUAGCAAAGUGCUGAAAGUUCAGGGGGCAUUUGUCUCCUUUCUCACAAAUUCAUUUAAGUACCAGUCUUGCUGGAGCUCUAACUGGGGCAGACAACCAUACAAAUGACUUGAGAUAAAAUGAAAAUAAUGGACUGAGCUGGGUUCUGGGAUGGUAGUUAUGCUGAACACACAUCAAUGAGCUUUGAGUGUGAUUCUAUGCUAAUGCAAGCCUGAUGGAUCAGCUUUCUCUUUUAGCCUGGAGGACCAUUAAGCUCUGGAAGCUAGGUCAAACUGAUAGAGUCUGCAAAUAUAGCCCAUCGGUUAGCAGCAGUAGUUAACUGACUGUGAUUUCUAAUGUGCGAAACUAACAUUGCUUAAAAACCCUCUGUGAUCAGGACAUAGAUCAGGAGGAAGGUAAUAGAUUCUGUUUUAAUUUGCAUAAUCAAAGCUUCUCAUUUUUCCAGCUAUAGAUAAUGUAAGAGGGGAAAAAAGUGAGCUGUGAUUGCUUCCAUUAUGUUGUUGAUCUUGAAUCACAGCAAAUAAUUUCCAUAAAAAUGUAAAUAACUUGUUUCAAAAGAAGAGUAUAAUUGAAAGAUUUUCUGUGUUAUUUCUUUGGAAUUAAACUGUAGGCACAGUUAUGCAGGUUAGAUAAUGAGGAUCUUGGGACUAUGAAAUGUAAAAAAGUUUUUAAAAAAAUUGUGAGUCUUUUUUAGUGAUUUGCUUCAAACAUUAAAACUUUCCUGCCUGUGAUAAAUCAGGGUUCUUUUAAGGUGUGAGCUUUGAAAUAGAUGUAAAUUAACACUAUGACCAAAAUGACAGAGAACUUGAUCAUUUCUGUUUCUCUCAAAGAAGAGAAAAUGAAGUAAUUUGUUUCAUAGCAAAAAUUAAAAUGAAUGACACCAGAAUGGAAAGAAUCCAGAGACAUUGUUUACUUUUAUGGAGCACAAAUGCUAAGAGGACUCUAGUAUUAUAAAGAAGGGGGGUCUUUUACUCACUUACACUACCCUAUUCCUUUUACUCUUCCCUUUUUCUGUCUAAAUAUACUGCAACUGGAGAGCAGUCCUGGUUUUGACUAAUGAUUAUUUUCAUAUAUAAUAUUUAAAGUUCUAUACUUUUUGCUUGAGGAUAUUUGCAUUGCAAACUUGCCAAAAACAUUUACUUCAAAUUCUCUUAAGUUCACAUUUUUGUGAUGUGGGAACUCUUUUUGUUCAUUCAUUUAAAAAUAUUUAUUGAGCGCUCAUUAUUUCAGGCAUUGUCUUCGGCACUUGUGGUGUGGUUGUCCUCUUGGAGCUUACUUGUUUUUUUUUUUAAACAGAGGAAGCACAAUAAACAAGUAAAGACAUAAUUUCAGAGAGUGAUAGGUUCUUAAGGGGAACCUUUUUUAUCUGGGAGUCUACUCUGACCAUGUUUCUGCCAAAUAGACUGAGAUAUCAAAUAUGCUGUUUUUUCAACCCCAGGUUUCCAGACUGUCUCAAAAAUUUUUGAAUGUAAAGAAAAUAAGUACAUUUUUGUUAAAGAAAAAUUAAGUGCUUUCGUGUACCUUGUAAUCCAGACUGAUAUCUCUAUAAAAAAACCUACUAAAAUUCUAUAUGUAUGAAUUUUUUUCUGAGUGCUUGUAUAUAUAUGUCUUCUAAGCAUUUUACUCAUUUAUUAACUUAUUUUAAAAAGUCUAAGAGGAGGUAUUAUUAUUAUUUCCAGGUGAGGAAACUGAGGGAAAAAACGUUGAAUAGCUUGCCCAAAAUUACAUGGCUAAUAAAUAGGUGAGGUGGGAUUAAAACCUAGACAGUUUGGGUCCAGAGUCAGUGUUCUUAGUCACUAUUACUCUGUGGCAACCUGAAGAAAUUUGUUUAGCUGAAAUUGUGUUGCUAUAUUAAAAUGCAAGUUCUAGCAUGGCAGGGAAUGUGUCUAUCUUGUUCAUCUCUAUCCUUGCACUUAGUGCUGAACCUGGGCUAUGGAGGGUGCCCAACAAAUAUUUGUUGAAUGAAUGGAUGUAAAUGAGUAUUAUAUGCUUAUAGGCAAAGUAAUAUUCUGUAUCAAAUUCUUUUAAAAAUUUCUUUUGCUACUUCUGCUUUGCUGGUGCCCUAAGUAUGUGCCUUGUGUGUAUAAUCCAGCACCAGUUAGAAUGGCAAUAUGAUUAGCUCCUAAUGAUGAGGUGAGGGGAGACCCAGAAUUCCAUGGCCUUGCUUAGUUCCAGACCCUGUCUACCCUAGGUAUGUGAGAUUUCUUAGUGGAUCACGUCACUAAGUGAUCACAUCAGAAUGAGCUCAUAUUAUAUCCUUUCAGAAUACCUCCUACUCUUGUGUUCUGAAAGGGUUAAUUCAUUUUCAAAAUAUGAGCAGUUUUCUUCUGAAAGUGAGUUUACUUAUAACAGGUAGAAUGUAAUCUGGCUUCCAUAAUGUUUGGAAUAAAAUGGAAUAGCAGAAGCUUGCAUAUCUCCACUUCCUAUUUUGUUUCCUUUCUUGCUGUGUCUUUGGAGAAGACAAUAAUAUUGUUUUAUAAGUUUCAAAUUGGUAUUAAAUGAUUGAGUGAAUGGAGGGUUUCUCAUAUUCCAAGGUUUCUUUUAGAAGAUAAAAAUAAAACAAAAACAUUAAAAAAAUAUAUACAUACACACUCAUGUUGAGUUUUGAACAGUAAAGGAUAAAUAAUAAAAAUAAAUCAUAUUCUCAUCACUCAAAAUAAUUAAUAUUCCUAUCAUUUAAAGCUAUUAAUUCUCUGUUAACAUUUUGGUAAUUAUCCUUUCAUAUAACUCUGUAUGUAUAUUUAGGCACUUAUGUAAAUUUUAAAUGAAUGAGUUUAUAUUUUGCAUAUUAUUGGAUAACCUGCAUUUUUGCAUAUUAUUUUAAUAAUAGGUCUUGGAUAUUUUUCAUGGCAAUGAACAUUAUGUGAACAUCAUUAUUAUUUUUAAUGACUUAACAUUCUGUUGUUUGGAUUUAUCAUUCUUUAGUUGGCCUCCUAAUAAUAGACCUAAAUUCCUUUCUUCCUUUUAUUUUUGGUGUUGCAAAGAAAAUUGCAGUGAAUACACACACACACACAGAAAUUGUUGCUGGAUCAAAGCCUGCAGUACCACAAACCUCUUUCCUUCUCUCUUUCUCUGUUUCUUUUUUUCCAAACUUUUCUUUCCUUCUUUCUAGGCUGCUUGAUAGGCGGUGUUAUUCUCCUCUGCCAGGAAGCGCACAAUGUCUGGUUGAAAGUCUUAUUGUAAUAUCACGUCCUUGAUCAAUGCCACCAGUCUCUAUGUCAUGUCUUUCCAGUCAUUUGAGUUGUUAUUUUAGUUCCUGGAUUUGCAUAAUAAACUACUUCAGAACUUAA